This 819-nucleotide ribosomal RNA is filed under the name Haliotrema spinicirrus. RNAcentral's name for it is "eukaryotic LSU rRNA". It matches the Rfam family "Eukaryotic large subunit ribosomal RNA", at positions 71 to 662 of the family's 3401-position model. Lineage: Eukaryota; Metazoa; Platyhelminthes; Monogenea; Dactylogyridea; Ancyrocephalidae. The record is from RNAcentral.
AGGAUUCUCCUAGUAACGGCGAGUGAACGGAGAUUAGCCCAUCACCGAAGUCUAUUCGCAUUUGUGAACAGGACAAUGUGGUGUUAAGGCAUGCGCCUAGGACCGUUCGUCUGCUCCAAGUCCAACUCCGAUUGCGGCUUUGGAUAGUGUCCAAUGCGGGUGAAAGACCCGUUCGGGCAGACUUAUUUUGUCUUUCAACGGUCCUAGAUGCGUGUGCUGUCGAGUCGGAUUGCUUGAGAAUGCAGUCCAAAGUGGGUGGUAAACUCCAUCCAAGGCUAAAUACUGGCGCAAGUCCGAUAGUAGACAAGUACCGUGAGGGAAAGUUGAAAAGUACUCUGAAGAGAGAGUAAAUAGUACGUGAAACCGUUUGCAGGGAAUCAGAUGGAGUCAAGCCUUGUGCAUGCAAGAUUGUUUUCCGCCCCUUAUUGUGUCAGGAUACGAGGCCGUGGCAACUUGGAAUAAGUUGGGCGCAUUCACGUGCGCCUCAAGUCGUUCCGGGUAGCUCGAUUGUCCAUACCUCUAUCUCCUAGGGUGGGAACCGAAUUUUGCAAGCACACAUCAUGGUCGAUAAUGCUACAAUUGUGACGGUCCAACAGUGCUUGAGCUAACAUUCGUUGGCUCGGUGCUGGAUGGAAGGUGGUAUAAAUGGCCCUCGUUGGUUGUUUAUGCUUAUUUCAUUUUCGAAUGUCCGACCGUCACGACUACUGUGCCUCUGCAUUAUCGCUUGGUGGACCUGUGGUUGGCGGCCUUUAUAUGGUCUCUGGCCUAUCCAUGCCAUGAUUCUGAGGUAGAUGUUCCAUCUGACCCGUCUUGAAACAC